This is a non-coding RNA of Vicia faba (fava bean), 273 nucleotides long. The record is from the annotation of a GenBank genome assembly. NCBI's taxonomy places the organism in Eukaryota, Viridiplantae, Streptophyta, Magnoliopsida, Fabales, Fabaceae.
AUGUCUUUCUAUAGGAUGCCCAAGAAGGUUGCUAAGGAGAUUAUUAAUAUUCAAGCUAGAUAUGGAUAUGUUUGCUUGAAGGUUUUUGGUGGAAAGGAAGGCUUUCAUGUAGAUUCUUCUAAGUCUUCUUCUUGGUGGGAAGACCUCAUUAACUUGGGGAAGUUCAAUGCGCUUGACCAUUUUGGUGAGGGCAUCUCUUUUAUUGUGGGAAAUGGUUACAAGGCGGAUUUUUGGUUUUCCAAAUGGUGCAACAAUUGCAGGCUUAAGGAUUAA